UAAUAUGCCCUAACUUUUCUGUACGAAAGGAGACCGUAAAGACAGAGCAAACGAAACUUGAGGAUGAAGAUGAAGAUGUGUUGAUAAGAUCUGAUACGUAAAAUGCAUAAAACUUAAAUUUUCUCGGUAAAAAGUCACUUACUAUUAUUUCUCUUUCAAAACUGCCAUUAAGGAAACACGCAUUAAAAUACCCGUUUGGAAAAAAAAGGGGGGGGGGGGCCUGAUAUAUAUAUAUAUAUUAAGCCGUCAUGUUAAGAAUGUAAAUUAUUUGAAUUAAUAUGGGGAAGUUUGUUGAAAUGUUCGCCGAUUAUGGCCAGAUAAUUGUUUUCCAUUGAUUUGUGACUAAUAAACUUUUGAGCUGCAAAAAAAAUCAGUUUCUUUUAACGGAGCUAUCCAUUUGAUUUUUAGGGGGGGGGGGGCAGGGCAGGAGUUUUGAGUAAAAAAAAGUCAGGAUGACACACUUGCAAAAAAAAAUAAGACAAUUUUGGUAAAAAAGUCAGGAUAAACUAAUAAAAAAAAAGGCAGGACAAUGUAUUAUAUGUGUCUGGCAGGACCGAACACAGUGAAAAAUAAAAAGGCAGGACAGAGAUUACAGCUAAAAACUAAAUGGAGCUACCAUUUGAUUUUUAUGGGGAGGCUAGGAUGAAACAUUUUGUCCUGCCUUUUUUUUUUAUUUCUUAGCUUAUCCUGACUUUUUUACAAUAAUUGUCAUCCUGCCAUUUUUUUUAUUUUUUUUUGCCAAGUUACUCAUCCUGCCUUUUUUUUUUUACUCAAAAUCCUGUCCUGCCUUUUUUUUCAAAUUUCAUCCUAGCCCCUAAUUAUGAUUGACUUAUUGCAACUGUAAAAGAGAGUACAAUAAAUUGAAAAAUAAAUUAAAAAAGGAUUUUUUUCAUUCCUUAAUAAAACAAAUAAAUGAGAUAAACCCAAAGAACACCAAAAAAUUUUGGGGAAGCAUUAAUAAUUACAAAAAAAAGAAUAAUAAUUGUGAGCCUGCUAUUUCUGCCAAAGAAUGGGAGAUUCACUAUAGAAAUUUGCUUGCUUCAAGUAAUAAUGAUACAACUGAUACAAAUCAAAAUAUAGAGAACAAAAAUCACAACUUUUCUAAUACAUCCCUUAAUGUCCCUAUUACACGUAAAGAAAUCAAAGACUGUAUUAAGAAGUUAAAAAAGGGAAAAUCUGGAGGUCCUGAUUUGAUAAUUAAUGAAUUUCUAAAGGUGUGGUCAAACACUCUAGUUUUACUUUUGACAAAACUUUUUAAUAAGAUACUUAACUCAGAAAAAUUCCCCAAAAUUUGGAACAUUUCUCUAUUGACAUCAAUUUAUAAAUCUGGUGACCCAUCUGAUUGUGGGAACUAUAGAGGUAUAAGCAUAACAAGCUAGCUGUCUUGGUAAAGUCUUUACAUCCAUUUUACAAAAACGACUUAGUGAUUUUCUUGAAACACAUAAUUUAUUAUUUUCAAAUCAAGGUGGUUUUAGAAAAAAAUUACAGAACUGUAGAUCAUGUCUUUAUUUUAAAAACAAUAAUAAACAAAUAUUUGUUUAAAUGUAAAAAGAAACUAUAUGUGUGUUUUGUAGAUUUUAAAAAGGCUUUUGACAGUGUCUGGAGAUCAGCUCUGUUCUUAAAAUUACAAAAUAAAGAAAUACAAGGCAAAUUUUAUAUAUACUGCAUGACAUGUACUCUAAUACCUUAUAUUCAUGUAAAUAUCAAAAAUAUGUUUACCAAGCCUUUUCUUGAUAAUCAGGGUUUUGUCAAAAAAAACAAGGUGAUCAUUGUUUAAGUCCAACAUUUAAUUUAAACAAUAAUUUAAUUUAAUAUAUUUGUUGAUGACAUAGAAAAAUACUUAGAUACAAACUUAACUAGUGCAGUAAAUUUAAAUGGUCAAAAAGUGAACCAUUUAUUGUAUGCUGAUGAUUUAUUAUUGAUAUCGGAAUAUGCAGAUGGUCUCCAGAACUCUCUUGAUUCUUUACAAAAACAUAGUACUGAAUGGAAACUGGACUUGAACCUUAAGAAAACAAAAAUUAUAAUUUUCUCUAAAACUAAAAGUAAAUUAAAAAAAACUGUUACUUUUAUUACAGUUCUAAUGCAAUUGAAAUUGUUGAUUGUUAUAAAAUACUUAGGAGUGGAUUUUCAUAGCUCUGGAAAAUUUAUACAAGCAGUGUCAAGCCUCUCAGAUAAAGCUAAAACAGCAUAUUUUGCAUUGAAGUCAAAACUACCAUAUAGUGAAAAUUUGUCUGUUAAGACUUGGCUCCAGCUUUUUAAUUCAAUGAUAACUCCUAUUUUAACUUAUGGAUCAGAAGUAUGGUUAUCAGAAUUCAAACCAAAUUUUGAAGCAUUUAUAGACAAAAGUAAAUUAGACAAAACACAAAACUCCAUAUUUAAAAACAUACUUGUGGUUCAUGGAAAGUCUUCCAAUCUAGCAGUGCGGUGUGAAUUGGGCACUUUACCCAUUCGCAUUAAAUGUUAUCAACUACUUAUGUAUAAAUAUCUAUGAGCGUCUCAGUAAAUAUUGGUGAACAAGUCUGGUGGUAAACAACAAGCAUUUGAAAUUUUCCCCUUACUCAAUUUUGACGCCUGCAGUUGAAACACUUUGAAGUGGACAAAAACUAUAAAGACUCAUGUUUUUCUACAAAAUAUUGGCAUUUUAUCAAAAAAAUCCUAUGCGAAUCAAGUAUGCAAAAAAAAAAAAAUUCAAUGGAGGAAAGGGUAUAAUUGAAAAAAACUCACUAAAUUAAGAAUAAUGCACACUCAUUAGCAAUAGAAAACUGGGAGGUAUGCAAGACCAAAAAUACCAUCUAAUGAGAGAUUUUGUAAAUUUUGCACAGGAAAAAUUGAAAAUGAGAUUCAUUUCUUGAUUGAAUGUCUGCAAUAUAACAAAAUUAGAUCUAAAUAUAAAAUUAAUGAUAUAAAUUUAAAUAAUUUGGAUGAAAAUUUUACCAAAAUGUUAAAUCCUAUGUCUGAAAAGGAAUUAAAAUCUAUUUGUAUGUAUAUUGAAGAAGCUCUUGAUUUGAGAGACCACCAUACCGUUUCAUCAGAUAAUAAUCCUUGACAGUAGUUUGUCCAUAUACAUAUAUAUAUAUAUAAAUAUCUUAUAUUGUGUGUUUUAAGUAAAUAUAUGAAAAUCUAGAAUAAUACUGAAAUAUAAGUCUAUGGUAUCAAUAUCAGUUUAUAAUGUAUUUGUAUACAUAGAAUUGGCUUGACUUGUUCCAUGAAUCUUUAUUUCAUUUGUGUGUUGUUUUAAUAUUAUUAAUUAUCUGUAUUUGGAUCACGCCUCUAUUGAGCUCUUUCCAAUAAAAUAUUGAAUUGAAUUGAAUAAACAGGAAUCUCGGGAGGGGGCACUUCCUAUACAUAUAAGGUGUCAGCUGGGAACAGUAUAUUUAAUACAUGUACACAUGUUCCCAAUGCAUAGUCGGAUCCUUGGCCCCCCCCCCCUUUCGUGGGAAAAAAUUGGUUUAUCAGAGGCGGAUUUAUCAUUUAGGAGGGGGCCUCCCCCCCUUUUUUUUUUUGGAAAAAUUUGGUUGCUUAUAUAGGAAAUCACUGAAGCGUGACUGGAGCGGCCCCCUCUUAGGUCAGUCAGUGGGCCCCACUUAUGAAAAUUUUUGGAUCCGCCACUGUUUAUAUAUAGGGAAUCAUUGAAGCAUGACUGUAGCUUAAAUUCAGCUUAAAUUUUGCAUACCAAUUGCUAAUAUAUAUUUAGUGUGAAUUAAUUUGCUAGAUAUGUUCAAAAAUUUAUAUUGUCCGAAAUGUUUUACUUCUUGUUUAAUUUCAAAAACUUUUUCUACUAGCAAAUGAGAACUGGCAGAAGAAGUUAUGUUAGAUUUGUGAAGCUCUUGGCUGCAUUUAUAAGCAUCUUUCAAUAGACUGAAUUCAGUUGUAAGAUUUUCAAAUCUAUACCAGUAUUUUACAAUUGACUUUACAAUAUCAUAAUGUAAGGGGAAAAGACUGAAGUGGGGACCCCCUCUUAGGCAGUCUAUGGGCCCCCUCUUAUGAAAAUUUCUAGAUCCGCCAUUGUUUUCUAGUUUAAAAAUAUGUGAAUAGGUGUUGAAAAUAUUAAGAAAUAUAUUAAGUCAACAAAUUAAAAAGAAAAUGUGGUACACUGUAUGAUUGCCAAUGAGACAACUCACUAUUAUGUUUCUAGAUAGGCAGAAUCAGGGGGCCCGGUCUGACAACACCUUUUGUUAGAAAAAUUUAGUUGAUUGUAUAGGGAAUGACUCGAGUAGGGACCCCCUCUUAGGCAGUAAAAGGGCCCCCUCUUAUGAAAAUUUCUAGAUCCACCAUUGAUUUCUAGUUUAAAAAUAUGUGAAUAGGUGUUGAAAUAUUCAGAAUAUUAAGUCAACAAAUUAAAAAGAAAAUAUAUGGUAUACUGUAUGAUUGCCAAUGAGACAAAUCUAGUCUCUAGACAAUAGACACAAUUACAUUAGAAAUUAACAACUUUAGGUCACUGUAUGGCCUUCAACAAUGAUAAAACCAGAAACUACUAUAAGUUACAAUAAGGAGGCUCGAGGGUACAUGUAUAAAAAUUUAAGAGAAAAAUAAACAUUUAUUUUUUCAUUACAAAGGAGUAGAUUCAGUAAGACCCCUUUUUGGCCCAAAAUAUAGCAGUUUUACAAAAAUUGUGAAAAUGUAAUCCUUAAGCUAUUUAUUGGAAAGUAGCAUGCUUCUGCUAAAUAAAUAUAGGAUGUUUUUGACAAUACAAUGCAUAUAUCAGGUACUAGCAUCAUUAAGUUAUGCUAAAUUACUGAAAUCUUCAAAAUUUUAGAUUUUUUGGUAAAUUUUAGACGGUUUCUGUCUUAAAUGAAAGUGUAAAUUUUCCCCUUACAUUAUGAUAUUGUAAUUAUUCGUGUUCAUUUAUAAUAUUGAAAUGUUAAUUAUACCCCAUGCAACGAGUUGCGGAGGGUAUAAUGUUUUUGACCUGUUCGUCCGUCCGUCAGUCCUGUUUCUUGUCAUCACAACUCCUUUCAAACCAUGCAUCAGAAUUUCAUGAAACCUUUUCAGAUAAUAAGGACAUACUAUGUAGUUGUGCAUAUCAACGGGAAAUUGCGAUUCAAUUUUUUUCCUAGGAGUUACGCCCCUUUGAACUUAUUUACUUCAAUGUUCUACUGCAACAGUUUGUUAUGGCAACUCCUCUCAAACCACACAACAGAAUUUCACGAAACCUUUUCAGAUAAUAAGGACAUACGAUGUAGUUCUGCAUAUCGACGGGAAAUUGUGAUUCAAUUUUUUUUCUAGGAGUUACGCCCCUUUGAACUUAUUUGCUUCAAUGUACUUCUGCAACAGUUUGUCAUCUCAACUCCUCUGAAACCACACAACACAGAAUUUCAUGAAAUUUUGUAGAUAAUAAGGACAUACUAUUUAGAUGUGCAUAUUGGCAGGAAAUUAAUUUUUCUUAUACAAUUUUUUUUUCUUACACUAAUUUAAUUUCUCCAAUGACAAUGUGGGGACGUGGGGUAUGUGAGUGUGCUCACUAAGGUUCUUUAAUUGUAUUUAAUGAUAAUACAUAAUAUAUAUAUAUACAUGUAAAGGUUGAGGAUGAACACAGACAUGACAGAUGCGGCCACUUUCAUUUUUUGACAAAAACCAUCAGAAAAGUGACAUUUUUUGGCAAAUUCAAUAGAUUUUUCAUACGAAAGCUUGAAUCUGAGCGUUUUUAAUGACUAAGUCAGUCAAAAUCUUUCACAUUAACUAAUUGAAUCAAUUGAAAUAGACAGUUAAGAGUUUAAAAAGUGUCCAAAAUCUUUCGUUAGAUGAAUUUGAAAUUUGAGGCCAAAAUCGGAACCUUACCUACUCCUUUUAUUUGUUACCUUAAGUAGUUGUUACUUUAUCAUAUGGUACAAAAAUAAUUAAAAAAAAAAAAUCAAUUUUUGAUGGCCUCAGAUGAAUUGUAAAAUGUAGAUAUCAUUAAAAUUGCUCAAAAUUAUCUCCCUUUGGUAUAAAAAUGCCAUUUUUGGAACUCAUCCGUGACCUUUAUUUUUUAUUAUUAUUUUCAAUUAAGCUGUUCUUAAACUAAACUAUUGUAAAAUUUGAGCGAUUUCUGUAAUUAAGUUCUCUUAUUUCGGUAUUACCUCUAUUUCUGCUAUUAGUUCAACAGAAAAAAGGUACCUUUACAAAAAUGUAUGCUUCUUUCGAAGGCAGGUUGUGAACGGUGACCCCAUUUUUUUUUAUUAAGUAUAAGAUUUAAGUACGUUUAUCAUUUUUACAGAAACAAUUUUUCCUUGUAGAUGUUGCAGAUACAUUCAUACAAAUGAUGUUGAAGAAACAAAGAGAAAAGGAACUUGGACUGUACCAGUUUGUUUGCAGCUUCUAAGGUGAAGUAUACUUAUUUAAAUGUUUUGUAAAAAUAAGAAGAUGUGGUAUGAUUGUAAAUGAAACAACUCUCCAUGAGAGACCAGUGAGACAAAAAUUAAACUUUGUUUGAUUUUAACAAAAGUUGAAUUCUUGGACUUCUUUGAUGCUGAAUCUAAACAUGUACUUAGAUUUUUGAUUAUGGACUGUUGGUCCAAAUCGGGGUUCAAAUUAAACUUUGUUUGAUUUCAACAAAAAUGGGGUUCUUUAAUAUGCUGAAUCUAACCGUGUAUUUAGAUUUUUAAUAUUUGGGCCCGGUUAUCAAAUUGAUCCACAUUGACAUGCUUGAGGUCUAAAGGGUCUAAAAUUGCACAUUAUUUGAUUUCAUCAAAAAUUGAAUUCUUGGGGUUCUAUGAUCAUGAUGAUAUGCUGAAUCUAACCAUGUAUUUAUAUUUUGGAUAUUUGACCAUAAUAGGCAAAUGUCCAAUUUAAAAUUUAUAAGUUUUUUUCUCGCCUUGACGGAGUAAAAAAAUGAGACAUAGGUAUGGUGUUCCCCGCGGCGGCAGCAUCAACAAUGUAUUAGUUUGUGAUUAGGUCAAUUUAUGGUGAACCACUAGUGGUAGGUCAAUGAUAUUUGGUAUGCAGUUGUAUAAGCAUUGGCAUAUCUCAUUUUCAUGGAGAUUUUUUUACUCCGCCUCCUUAGUCAUGGUCUAUAGACUUUGAUAAUUUUGCUAAGUUAAUAUGUAUUAGUUUGUGAUAAGGUCAGUUCAAGGGGAACCAUUAGUGGUAGGCCAAUGUUAAUUGGUGUUCAGUUUUAUAAACAUUAGCACAUCUCAUUUCCAUGGAGAAUAUUUGGCCCUGCCCCCUCAGUCAUGGUCUAUUGACUUUGAAACUUUUGCUUAGUUUACAUGUAUUAGUUUGUGAUAAUAUCAGUUUAAGAUGAACUGCUAAUGUUAAGUCAAUGAUAUUUGGUAUGCAAAUUUAUUGUCAUUUGAAAGUGUUGUUUUCAUGGAGAUUAUAUAGCCCCACCCCUGAUCAUGGUUCAUUGACUUUGAAACUUUUACAUAGUUUAAAAGUUAAUGUUUGUGUUUAGGUUCGUUUAAAGGGAACUACUUAUUAUGAGUCAAUGGUAAUUGGUAUGCAGUUGUAUUAUAUUUAUCAUUGGCACAUCUCAUUCCAUGGAGAUUGUUUAGCCAUGUACCUUCAGUCAUUGUUCAUAGACUUUGAAUAUUUGCAUAACUUACAUGUUAAAAUAUUGCUAUUUAAUUUCAACAUUGCAUUAUCAAAAUUACAUGAAUAUUUGCAUAACUUACAUGUUAAAAUAUUGCUAUUUAAUUUCAACAUUGCAUAAUCAAAAUUACAUGAAUAUUUGCAUAACUUACAUGUUAAAAUAUUGCUAUUUAAUUUCAACAUUGCAUAAUCAAAAUUACAAAAAGGGGAUAUCGAUACAUAUCUCUGUGAUAACAGUUUAUUAAGUGUAAGUUCUUAGACCACAUUCAUUCUGUGUCAGAAACCUAUCUUGUGUCAACUAUUUAAUCACAAUCCAAAUUCAGAGCUGUAUCAAGCUUAAAUGUUGUGUCCAUACUUGCCCCAACUGUUCAGGGUUCGACCUCUGUGGUCCUAUAAAGCUGUGCCCUGCGGAGCAUCUGGUUUGUAAAGUGAAAUUCUCUCUUAUUAUAAGUAAUAGGAUAACUAUAUUUGGUAUGUGAGUACCUUGCAAGGUCCUCAUGGCUGUCAUACAGUUUUCACUUGACCUCGACCUCCUUUCAUGGAUCAGUGAACAGUUUUGGUGAUCAUGGAUGGCUUUCAUAGUCAUGGAUACAUUUUAAGUUUUGGUUAAAGUCAUGUUAAUUGUUUUGUGUAAACAAAAUUGUCGUCAAGUGACCAUCAAGUCCAUAUCAGAUACUAAAAGCAAUAUGUCUAGUAUAUUUGGUGUAUGGAGGACUGUAAGGUGUACAUGUCCAACUGGCAGGUGUCAUCUGACCUUGACCUCAUUUCCAUGGUUCAGUGAUUAUAGUUGAGUUUUUGUGGUUUUUUUUUCUGUUUUUCAUAUACUAUUUGCAAUAGGUCUAAUAUAUUUGGUGUAUGGAAAUAAUAACAGAAUGAUUGUUAGGUGUACAUUUCUAGCUGGUAUGUGUCAUCUGCCCUUGACCUCAUUUUCAUGGUCAGUGGUCAAAGUUAAGUUUUUGAGUUUUUGUCUUUUUAUCUAAUAAUAUAUGCAAUAAGUCUACUGCUAUAAUAACUAUAUUAGGUGUAUGGAAAUAUAUUAGUUGUAUGGAAGAAUUAUUAGCUGUAUAGAUGUGUGCCUUGUAUGGUUCAUCUCACCUUGCCUGUCCUUGGCCUCAUUUUCAUGGUUUAGUGGUCAAUUUUUAGUUUUUUUAGGUUAAUGUUAAGGUUAUGUUUCAAUUGUAAUAAAGCUUUAUUUUAAGGACUACAAAAGAAGGCGAGACAUUUCAGCGUGUGCACUCUUUGUUUUAUAUUAAACCCUAGAAAGAAGCUACAGAUUAAUGUUAACUGCAAAAAUACUAAAAUCCUUUAUUAAUUAGAUCAUGUAGAUACAGGAAAUGAAAAUAUUUUGAAAUUUUUUAUCAUAAAAAUGGUAAUGCUUAUAUAUUCAAGUUUCACUAAAUUCCAAGAAGGGUUUCCACAAAUAACAAUGACUGAUUUUCAAAAUGAUCAUCAUGUAAAAAUGAAGAGAUGUGCUAAGAUUGCCCAUGAAAACUAUCUUUAUGAACAAUGACAGUUCAGUGGUUUGCUUUCAGCCUUUAGCAAAAAUAAUUACCAUAUAUAUUGUAAUAAGCUAUAAAUAAAAGCCCCCCAUUGUAAAAUGUUAAACAAUUAAAAAGUAAAAAACAGCGUCCUGAUCUUUAUAAGUUCGAAGAAUAAAAUUGAGUCAUAUUAUGGUAUGAUGUUGUUGUUAGCGAUGUAUGUCGACACAUAUGGUUUCCGGAUAAUUAUAUAGUUUAAGCGAAUGGAUAUCCAUGAAAUUUUACACAAGGUUUAAUACCAAAAAGGAAGGUUGGGUUGAUUUUUGGGGUGAUGGUACCAACAGUUUAGAAAUUAGGGGCAAAAAAGAAGCAUUUUUGUAGUUUCCAGACAUUAACUUGUGUGCCAGAGUGUACUAAUCUCUCUGAAAUUGUUCUUCAAGGUUCCAUAUCACAAAGGGUAGACUGGAAUUGUUUAAAGGGGUAAUUGCCUCAAACGUUCAGGAAAUAGGGGGUCAAAAAACAAGCAUUUUUUCUAAUUUCCAGACAAUAUUUUGUGUUUAAGUGUAUGGAUUUCUUUAAAAUUGUACUGCAAAGUACCAUACCACAAAGGAAAAGGCUGGGAUUAAGUUUUGGGGUAAUUACUGAAAGGGGGUUGAAAAAAAUUGGGGGAGGGGGAUUUUUUUUCUCAUAAUUUUGAUCAAAAUCCAAAUACAGACAGUCUAUCAAGCUUGAAUAUUGUGUCCAAACAUGCACCAACUGGUCAGUCAAAUAACAAGGCUGCGCUGCACAUCAUUUUCUUAAUCAUAUUAAUCUGACAUGUUAAAGUUUGUACAUUAUGAAGUUACUAACCUGUUGAUUUUGUGUAUUUCAGAUUAUUAUUGAAAAAAGAGCACUUUGAAGUACUAGGAGAAUUUGAAAACAUCUUGGUGAAAUAGUCUGACUGAUUAUGACAGAACAUCAAAAGAAAUGACGAAAAAUUACACAUCUUAUCAAAAUAGUACUACUAGAAACUAAAAGCUACUUGCAAUUUUCACUGGUUUUGAGAUCAGUAACAGUCUGACAAGGAAAGAAUUUAAUGAACAUGAUUAUGAUGCCUC
RNAcentral lists this long non-coding RNA (10084 nucleotides) under Mytilus galloprovincialis (Mediterranean mussel). Lineage: Eukaryota; Metazoa; Mollusca; Bivalvia; Mytilida; Mytilidae. The record is from RNAcentral.